RNAcentral lists this ribosomal RNA (498 nucleotides) under uncultured bacterium. Its description in RNAcentral is "partial 16S ribosomal RNA". It matches the Rfam family "Bacterial small subunit ribosomal RNA", at positions 28 to 508 of the family's 1533-position model. The record is from RNAcentral.
GAUGAACGCUGGCGGCGUGCCUAAUACAUGCAAGUCGAGCGAACGGACGAGAAGCUUGCUUCUCUGAUGUUAGCGGCGGACGGGUGAGUAACACGUGGAUAACCUACCUAUAAGACUGGGAUAACUUCGGGAAACCGGAGCUAAUACCGGAUAAUAUUUUGAACCGCAUGGUUCAAAAGUGAAAGACGGUCUUGCUGUCACUUAUAGAUGGAUCCGCGCUGCAUUAGCUAGUUGGUAAGGUAACGGCUUACCAAGGCAACGAUGCAUAGCCGACCUGAGAGGGUGAUCGGCCACACUGGAACUGGGACACGGUCCAGACUCCUACGGGAGGCAGCAGUAGGGAAUCUUCCGCAAUGGGCGAAAGCCUGACGGAGCAACGCCGCGUGAGUGAUGAAGGUCUUCGGAUCGUAAAACUCUGUUAUUAGGGAAGAACAUAUGUGUAAGUAACUGUGCACAUCUUGACGGUACCUAAUCAGAAAGCCACGGCUAACUACGUGC